This is a long non-coding RNA of Drosophila novamexicana, 246 nucleotides long. RefSeq lists it as uncharacterized. The transcript has 3 exons. The record is from RefSeq and is a predicted model, not a curated record. Lineage: Eukaryota; Metazoa; Arthropoda; Insecta; Diptera; Drosophilidae.
CACUUCCACUUUUUUUGAUGCAAUAUCCUUAACUUUGACUUGCAGUGAUGCAGAUAACUUGUCGACUAUAUUCUGCAAAUAGACGUCAAUUGUUUUGAAUCAAUACUAAUUAGCUGGUUUUUUCUUCGAAUUGUGCUCUCGUGCCUGAAAUAGAUGAAAGAUGAAAGAAGAAGCCUUAGAGAUAAUUCUCAUUCCCUAUGCAUUUUCUUUGUGCCCAAAACAAAUUUAUUAAUUUACGAUCAUCGA